Molecule: non-coding RNA, 210 nt
Organism: Caenorhabditis elegans
Lineage: Eukaryota; Metazoa; Nematoda; Chromadorea; Rhabditida; Rhabditidae
Source: Ensembl
CUCAUCUUUUGCUCUUGUUCUUUCGUUUCUUUUUAUGGUGGAAUGAGUUGAGCCGAGUUCAGAAAGAAGCGCGGAAAAACGGGAGACGCGCGCAUCAGCAUAGUAGAUGUUCAUCAAUUGCAAAUGAGAAUGUUAAUGCUCGGCCGGGUUCACUGGCGCGGGGUGCACACGCCAAUGUAUCAUUCUGAAUGGUUUCGUAUCGUGCCCUUU